GACGAACGCUGGCGGCGUGCUUAACACAUGCAAGUCGAACGGUGAUGCUCCAGCUUGCUGGAGUGGAUCAGUGGCGAACGGGUGAGUAACACGUGAGCAACCUGCCCCAGACUCUGGAAUAAGCGCUGGAAACGGCGUCUAAUACUGGAUACGAAACUGGCCCGCAUGGGCAUGGUUUGGAAAGUUUUUCGGUUUGGGAUGGGCUCGCGGCCUAUCAGCUUGUUGGUGAGGUAAUGGCUCACCAAGGCGACGACGGGUAGCCGGCCUGAGAGGGCGACCGGCCACACUGGGACUGAGACACGGCCCAGACUCCUACGGGAGGCAGCAGUGGGGAAUAUUGCACUAUGGGCGAAAGCCUGAUGCAGCGACGCCGCGUGAGGGAUGACGGCCUUCGGGUUGUAAACCUCUUUCAGCAGGGAAGAAGCGAAAGUGACGGUACCUGCAGAAGAAGCACCGGCUAACUACGUG
RNAcentral lists this ribosomal RNA (468 nucleotides) under uncultured bacterium. Its description in RNAcentral is "partial 16S ribosomal RNA". It matches the Rfam family "Bacterial small subunit ribosomal RNA", at positions 28 to 507 of the family's 1533-position model. The record is from RNAcentral.